Molecule: RNA transcript, 2233 nt
Organism: Labeo rohita (rohu)
Lineage: Eukaryota; Metazoa; Chordata; Actinopteri; Cypriniformes; Cyprinidae
Gene name: collagen alpha-2(I) chain-like
Exons: 9
Source: RefSeq, a predicted model, not a curated record
GAAGCUACAUGCAAUGGGCUACAAGCCACUCCUCCUCCUUCAGAAGGAAGGCAAUGGCAAGAACCCUAAAAUAACUUCCCUCACCCCAAGAUGCGAGCUGGACCCACUGGCUACACAACACCUCAGCAAAAUAACAGCAUUUUAUGAGUUGGUUUGUGCAGGUUGGAAGGCGAGUGAGGACACUGUCCUCACCCUGACCCUCACCCCCUGUGACGAGCAGGGCACCUCAGGGGAGGCGGGGCCAGAAAUCCUUGUGCAGGAGGUGGGGCCGGAAGGCCUCAUGGAGGAGGCGGAGCUGAAAGGUCCCGCUGUGGAGACUGAAGGCCUUGUGGAGGAGGCAGAGCUGGAAGGCCCAGCUGUGGAGACUGAAGGCCUCGUGGAGAAGGCGGGGCUGGAAGGCAUCGUGGAGGAGGCGGGGCUGGAAGGCCCCACUGUGGUGAAUGAAGGCCUUGUGGAGGAGGCGGGGCUGGAAGGCCCCACUGUGGAGACGGCAGGCCUUGUGGAGGAGGCAGAGCUGGAAGGCCCAGCUGUGGAGACUGAAGGCCUCGUGGAGAAGGCGGGGCUGGAAGGCCUCGUGGAGGAGGCGGAGCUGGAAGGGCCAGCUGUGGAGACUGAAGGCCUCGUGGAGAAGGCGGGGCUGAAAGGCUUCGUGGAGGAGGCGGGGCUGGAAGGCCCCACUGUGGUGAAUGAAGGCCUUGUGGAGGAGGCGGGGCUGGAAGGCCCCACUGUGGAGACGGCAGGCCUUUUGGAGAAGGCGGGGCUGGAAGGCCUCGUGGAGGAGGCGGGGCUGAAAGGCCCCACUGUGGUGAAUGAAGACCUUGUGGAGGAGGCGGCAGGCCUUUUGGAGAAGGUGGGGCUGGAAAGCCCUGCUGUUGAGGCUGAAGGCCUCGUGGAGGAGGCGGGUGAAAUACAUCUACCUAAAAAAGGGUCAACAAGGAAGAGAAAGCGGAAGUCAGAGGCAGAAAUGGAUAAAAGCAAAAAAAAACAAAAAAAUUGCUCCUACCACACAGGCCUAGGUGUUUAUCCAAUUAGGAGUGCUCUGAAAGAAAGAGUGAGAAAGGGCCAAAUAGAAUUGCUGAUUGACUGGGAGCCUUGUGCAGCAUGUGGGAAACAGUGGACUCCUACUUGGGAGCCCAAGGAGUCAUUUGUUUAAGUUUAUUCAUUUAGUUAUAUAUGUUGUUUUAUUUUAUUAUUGUACAUUGCAUAUUCAAUAAAGUUUUGUUAUAGUAAUUUUGUGAUAUUUCUAUACAAAGUAAAGUGUUGUUUACAAGCCCUUUGUUGAAGAUGGUAGAUGUUCAACAUUUCCUGCCAUUUCAGAACUGGAUAAUUCAAGAAUGCCUAACUCCAUACAGAAACAUGUUCUGCUUUUGAUAUGUGGUUUAUCAAGAGGUUAGUAAAUUAUUCAACCAAGCAAAAUGCGUGCAUAAAUGGAAGCAGGACUCUGUACAUGCUGUAAGUCAGAUGCAAUUUAUUGUAUAUUAAAAAAAAUCCCUCACGAAUGACAGUGUUAAUAAUUUAAAAUGAAUGUGCAAUAUCCAUAAUGGUCAUCACAAACACAUGUUUCCAUAUGUAGUAUGCAUGGCAGUUUCCAACCUGCCAGUUUCCAAAAUUCAUACAAUAGAAGGUGAUGUAGUGUGAUUAUUUACAAUAUUUGUUAAUUUAGGAUUGGUUUGGGGGGUUGUGUGUGAUUGAUUUAGCUGAAACUUGUUAUUCUUGGUGGUUUAAAUGACCUUACAUCUGUCCCCUUUACUGAUGUUUUACCAGUCACUGCUCCUGAUAGGCUGAUGUGGUCCCACUCCAUUAUUUGGUUGCAGUUCCAUCAGUGGUCACUGGUAAGAAACAAGCUGAAGAAGCCGGUCUUUGUCGUGCCCCACUUCCCUGUAGUAGUCCCACUCCACUGUUUGGUCGUUGAUCCUUGGCUCUCCUGUUAUAUUGUGGUGGUGAGACUGUAGAAGGACCCAAAAAGAAGACCCAAGACGAUGAGAAUGUUCCAGUGGACAAUGGUGGUGGUGGUGCUGCUUUUACCUCAUGCCGCUUUUUGACUGUCCAGUCAAACAGCCUGCUAAGCCUAAACACAAUCCCCAACCCCCACACACACUACUUUUUUCCACCUUUCGUCUGCUUGCAUCCCUGUAGUUUCCAUUAAAUGUAUAUUAAAUAAAAUUUUUGCAAAAUAUUGUGAUAUUUUGUCACUUUCAUAUAGACAACAACAUUCAACAAAGUACAAAUUCAU